Molecule: ribosomal RNA, 253 nt
Filed under: uncultured bacterium
Lineage: Bacteria
Description: partial 16S ribosomal RNA
Rfam family: Bacterial small subunit ribosomal RNA
Source: RNAcentral
UACGGAGGGGGCAAGCGUUAUUCGGAAUUAUUGGGCGUAAAGGGCGCGUAGGCGGCUGUACAAGUCAAAGGUGAAAUCCCUCGGCUCAACUGAGGAACUGCCUUUGAAACUGUACGGCUUGAGGCCGGGAGGGGGUAGCGGAAUUCCCAGUGUAGCGGUGAAAUGCGUAGAUAUUGGGAGGAACACCAGUGGCGAAGGCGGCUACCUGGACCGGUUCUGACGCUGAUGCGCGAAAGCGUGGGUAGCAAACAGG